Molecule: ribosomal RNA, 408 nt
Filed under: uncultured bacterium
Lineage: Bacteria
Description: partial 16S ribosomal RNA
Rfam family: Bacterial small subunit ribosomal RNA
Source: RNAcentral
GACGAACGCUUGCGGCGUGCUUAACACAUGCAAGUCGAACGGAGUGGCGAACGGGUGAGUAACACGCGGGUGAUCUGCCUUGCACCUCGGGAUAAGCUUGGGAAAAUGGGUCUAAUACCGGAUAGUGCAAGAUGAGCUCGCUGCCAAUCAGCUUGUUGGUGGGGUAAUGGCCUACCAAGGCGUAGACGGGUAGCCGGCCUGGGAGGGUGUGAGGCCAAGUUGGGACAGAGAUACGGCCCAGACUCCUACGGGAGGAAGCAGUGGGGAAUAUUGCACAAUGGGCGGAAGCCUGAUGCAGCGACGCCGCGUGGGGGGUGAAGGCCUUCGGGUUGUAAACUUCUUUCGACAGGGACGCGGUACCUGUAUAAGAAGCGCCGGCUAACUACGUGCCAGCAGCCGCGGUAAUAC